Molecule: ribosomal RNA, 456 nt
Filed under: uncultured bacterium
Lineage: Bacteria
Description: bacterial SSU rRNA
Rfam family: Bacterial small subunit ribosomal RNA
Source: RNAcentral
GACGAACGCUGGCGGCGCGCCUAACACAUGCAAGUCGAACGAGCGAGAGGAGGUUUACUUUCUUGAGCGAGUGGCGAACGGGUGAGUAACGCGUGAGGAACCUGCCUCAAAGAGGGGGACAACAGUUGGAAACGACUGCUAAUACCGCAUAAGCCCACGACCCGGCAUCGGGUAGAGGGAAAAGGAGCAAUCCGCUUUGAGAUGGCCUCGCGUCCGAUUAGCUAGUUGGUGAGGUAACGGCCCACCAAGGCGACGAUCGGUAGCCGGACUGAGAGGUUGAACGGCCACAUUGGGACUGAGACACGGCCCAGACUCCUACGGGAGGCAGCAGUGGGGAAUAUUGCACAAUGGGGGAAACCCUGAUGCAGCGACGCCGCGUGGAGGAAGAAGGUCUUCGGAUUGUAAACUCCUGUUGUUGAGGAAGAUAAUGACGGUACUCAACAAGGAAGUGACGGC